UACGUAGGGUGCAAGCGUUAUCCGGAAUUAUUGGGCGUAAAGAGCUCGUAGGCGGCUUGUCGCGUCGACUGUGAAAACUUGGGGCUCAGCUCCAAGCUUGCAGUCGAUACGGGCAGGCUAGAGUUCGGUAGGGGAGACUGGAAUUCCUGGUGUAGCGGUGAAAUGCGCAGAUAUCAGGAGGAACACCGGUGGCGAAGGCGGGUCUCUGGGCCGAUACUGACGCUGAGGAGCGAAAGCGUGGGGAGCGAACAGG
Molecule: ribosomal RNA, 253 nt
Filed under: uncultured bacterium
Lineage: Bacteria
Description: partial 16S ribosomal RNA
Rfam family: Bacterial small subunit ribosomal RNA
Source: RNAcentral